GGUCCCGUAGCCGAGUGGUUAGGCAACGGAUUGCAAAUCCGUUUACCCCGGUUCGAUUCCGGGCGGGACCUCCA
This 74-nucleotide transfer RNA is filed under the name Pseudomonadota bacterium. RNAcentral's name for it is "tRNA-Cys". It matches the Rfam family "tRNA". Rfam says of the family: Transfer RNA (tRNA) molecules are approximately 80 nucleotides in length. Their secondary structure includes four short double-helical elements and three loops (D, anti-codon, and T loops). Further hydrogen bonds mediate the characteristic L-shaped molecular structure. tRNAs have two regions of fundamental functional importance: the anti-codon, which is responsible for specific mRNA codon recognition, and the 3' end, to which the tRNAs corresponding amino acid is attached (by aminoacyl-tRNA synthetases). tRNAs cope with the degeneracy of the genetic code in two manners: having more than one tRNA (with a specific anti-codon) for a particular amino acid; and 'wobble' base-pairing, i.e. permitting non-standard base-pairing at the 3rd anti-codon position. The record is from RNAcentral. RNAcentral also lists the same sequence under 1 other name. Lineage: Bacteria; Pseudomonadati; Pseudomonadota.